GACAGAGGGGGCAAGCGUUGCUCGGAAUUACUGGGCGUAAAGGGCGCGUAGGCGGGAUGGCAAGUCGGUCGUGAAAUCCCUCGGCUCAACUGAGGAGCGUCGAUCGAAACUGCCGUUCUUGAGGGUUGCAGAGGAGACUGGAAUUCCCGGUGUAGCGGUGAAAUGUGUAGAGAUCGGGAGGAACACCAGUGGCGAAGGCGGCGAUCUGGGAAGAUACUGACGCUGAGGUGCGAAAGCGUGGGGAGCAAACAGG
RNAcentral lists this ribosomal RNA (253 nucleotides) under uncultured bacterium. RNAcentral's name for it is "partial 16S ribosomal RNA". It matches the Rfam family "Bacterial small subunit ribosomal RNA", at positions 524 to 776 of the family's 1533-position model. The record is from RNAcentral.